This 253-nucleotide ribosomal RNA is filed under the name uncultured bacterium. RNAcentral's name for it is "partial 16S ribosomal RNA". It matches the Rfam family "Bacterial small subunit ribosomal RNA", at positions 524 to 776 of the family's 1533-position model. The record is from RNAcentral.
AACGUAGGUUCCGAGCGUUAUCCGGAUUUACUGGGCGUAAAGCGCGUUCAGGCGGUUUGGCAAGUCGGGCGUGAAAUCUCUCGGCUCAACCGGGAGAGGUUGUCCGAUACUGCUGGACUUGAGGGCAGUAGAGGGUGGUGGAAUUCCGGGUGUAGUGGUGAAAUGCGUAGAUAUCGAGAGGAACACCGGUGGCGAAGGCGGCCAACUGGACGAAUACUGACGCUGAGACACGAAAGCGUGGGGAGCAAACAGG